RNAcentral lists this transfer RNA (67 nucleotides) under Marmota monax (woodchuck). RNAcentral's name for it is "tRNA.Ala". Lineage: Eukaryota; Metazoa; Chordata; Mammalia; Rodentia; Sciuridae. The record is from RNAcentral.
GGUUAUGGCUCAGUGGUACAGCACUCGCCUUGCACGUGCAAGGUCCUGGGUUUGAUCCUCAGCACCA